GACGAACGCUGGCGGCGUGCCUAAUACAUGCAAGUUGAGCGCUGAAGGUUGGUACUUGUACCAACUGGAUGAGCAGCGAACGGGUGAGUAACGCGUGGGGAAUCUGCCUUUGAGCGGGGGACAACAUUUGGAAACGAAUGCUAAUACCGCAUAAAAACUUUAAACACAAGUUUUAAGUUUGAAAGAUGCAAUUGCAUCACUCAAAGAUGAUCCCGCGUUGUAUUAGCUAGUUGGUGAGGUAAAGGCUCACCAAGGCGAUGAUACAUAGCCGACCUGAGAGGGUGAUCGGCCACAUUGGGACUGAGACACGGCCCAAACGCCUACGGGAGGCAGCAGUAGGGAAUCUUCGGCAAUGGGCGAAAGUCUGACCGAGCAACGCCGCGUGAGGGAAGAAGGGUGUCGGAUCGUAAAACUCGGUUGGUAGAGAAGAACGUUGGUGAGAGUGGAAAGCUCAUCAAGUGACGGUAACUACCCAGAAAGGGACGGCUAACUACGUG
RNAcentral lists this ribosomal RNA (497 nucleotides) under uncultured bacterium. Its description in RNAcentral is "partial 16S ribosomal RNA". It matches the Rfam family "Bacterial small subunit ribosomal RNA", at positions 28 to 507 of the family's 1533-position model. The record is from RNAcentral.